Mizuhopecten yessoensis (Yesso scallop) is the source of this 780-nucleotide long non-coding RNA. RefSeq lists it as uncharacterized. The transcript has 2 exons. Lineage: Eukaryota; Metazoa; Mollusca; Bivalvia; Pectinida; Pectinidae. The record is from RefSeq and is a predicted model, not a curated record.
GUUUUUGUUUCAUUUUCAGACCGUUAAAUGCCUUUUGAUAGUCCCUAAUCCAGAAUCUGCUUUGAAUGAGGAGGCGGGGAAACUUUUAUUGGAGCAGUAUGAAGAUUAUUCAAUGAGAGCGAAAUUAUAUACAGACAUACAUGCAAAACCUCCAAAAGCUUCAACAGAAUCAGGUUUAACAUCAUCAUUGAAGGGUAGCAUAGAAGGACCAAUGGCGAAAAAGCAUGCCGGUGACAAAAAACUUAUUGACAAAAAGAAAAAAGAGAAAAAGAAAGUGCUGAAGAGAUUAUGACACCCAUUAUAUCUGACAGACAUUAUGUUUAUUUUCCAUGUUAUUUAUACAUUUUGAUAUGUCGGCCAGACAUGUCGCCUCAUUCAGUUGACAUUCUUCAUGUUAGGACAAUGCAUUUGAUACAUAUAGGACGUAUCGGGUUGACAUUCAUUGGAUAUUAACCGUUGUGACAGUACGAGACACCAGCCGUGGCUAGCCCAGGGCCUACGUUCUUUAUAUAUAUAUCUCAGCAUCUAACUGGUGACAACGAUCUGAAAGGCAUUCUCUGAAAAGUUAUCAUUUUAUGAAUUUUUAAUCUUGUGAAAUCAACCAGUGAUUUGUCUUCACUAGCACGGAAGCAAGUUUAUUUGCAUGUUUGAUGUGCAUAAAGUUCUCUUUUGUACAUAGAGAAAUCUUAUGAUGGAGAUUUGUCUUUAAAUCAAUCAUGUGUAUCAUAAAAUCUUAAUAUAUAAUGUGAAAUAAAUGUACAAUAAAUGCAAUUUUUACAA